CCAACUCAAGAUAUGUCCCACAGACCUUCAUUCAUCAUUGAACCCACGUGUACGUGGUAUAGAUUAAUACAUAUGAUAUGGAGUACAUAAUAUAUUUGUAUAUUUGACAACUUAUUUGUUAAGCACAUUGAUGGGUGAAGUAAGCACGAGGUCAACCACUAAAGUAUGCUCUCUCGUGAUGCUCCACUUCACUAACUUCCCACUUAUUAACUAACUAGUAGUCUACUACUGCUGCUGCUAGUAUCUCUUUGUAUUUUUAUGUUAGUGUUUUUCUAGCUGCCAGCACUAUUUCCAGG
RNAcentral lists this long non-coding RNA (296 nucleotides) under Panax ginseng (ginseng). RNAcentral describes it as "long non-coding RNA (PGIN_LNC006429)". The record is from RNAcentral. Lineage: Eukaryota; Viridiplantae; Streptophyta; Magnoliopsida; Apiales; Araliaceae.